GAAAGAUUCAUCGGAAGAGGAUGGGCAUGCGGCGCAUUAGCUUGACGGCGGGGUAACGGCCCACCGUGGCGACGAUGCGUAGGGGUUCUGAGAGGAAGGUCCCCCACACUGGUACUGAGACACGGACCAGACUCCUACGGGAGGCAGCAGUGAGGAAUAUUGGUCAAUGGGAGAGAUCCUGAACCAGCCAAGCCGCGUGAGGGAAGACGGCCCUAUGGGUUGUAAACCUCUUUUGUCGGAGAACAAAACCCGGGACGUGUCCCGGACUGCGUGUAUCCGAAGAAAAAGCAUCGGCUAACCCCGUGCCAGCAGCCGCGGUAAUACGGAGGAUGCGAGCGUUAUCCGGAUUUAUUGGGUUUAAAGGGUGCGUAGGCGGUCUGUUAAGUCAGCGGUAAAAUUGCGGGGCUCAACCCCGUCGAGCCGUUGAAACUGGCAGACUUGAGUUGGCGAGAAGUACGCGGAAUGCGCGGUGUAGCGGUGAAAUGCAUAGAUAUCGCGCAGAACUCCGAUUGCGAAGGCAGCGUACCGGCGCCAGACUGACGCUGAGGCACGAAAGCGUGGGGAUCGAACAGGAUUAGAUACCCUGGUAGUCCACGCAGUAAACGAUGAAUGCUGGUUGUCCGGGUCGAAUGAGACCUGG
This 640-nucleotide ribosomal RNA is filed under the name uncultured bacterium. RNAcentral describes it as "bacterial SSU rRNA". It matches the Rfam family "Bacterial small subunit ribosomal RNA", at positions 202 to 842 of the family's 1533-position model. The record is from RNAcentral.